Molecule: ribosomal RNA, 440 nt
Filed under: uncultured bacterium
Lineage: Bacteria
Description: partial 16S ribosomal RNA
Rfam family: Bacterial small subunit ribosomal RNA
Source: RNAcentral
CCUACGGGUGGCAGCAGUAGGGAAUUUUGCGCAAUGGGCGAAAGCCUGACGCAGCAACACCGCGUGAAUGUUAAGCGCUUCGGGGUGUAAAGUUCUGUCAAUAGGGACGAAUUUUGACUGUACCUAUAAAGGAAGCACCGGCUAACUCCGUGCCAGCAGCCGCGGUAAUACGGGGGGUGCACGCGUUGUCCGGAAUGAUUGGGCGUAAAGCGUUCGUAGGAGGGGAUGUAAGUCUGAGGUUAAAGCCCGGGGCUCAACACCGGGUCGGCAGUGGUUAAUAUCUAGCUAGAAUGUGGUAGAGGUAAACGGAAUUCGUGGUGUAGCGGUGAAAUGCGUAGAUAUCAGGAGGAACACCGGUGGCGAAGGCGCGUUACUGGACCAUUAUUGACGCUGAGGAACGAAAGCGAGGGGAGCAAAUGGGAUUAGAUACCCGGGUAGUC